GCCGGGGUGGCGGAACAGGCAGACGCAGGGGACUUAAAAUCCCCGGGACUAUGUCCAUGCGGGUUCGAGUCCCGCCUCCGGCA
Molecule: transfer RNA, 83 nt
Filed under: bacterium
Lineage: Bacteria
Description: tRNA-Leu
Rfam family: tRNA
About the family: Transfer RNA (tRNA) molecules are approximately 80 nucleotides in length. Their secondary structure includes four short double-helical elements and three loops (D, anti-codon, and T loops).
Source: RNAcentral